AGAAGAAUUCCAAGUAUCUUGACCAAAUAAACCCUCACAGCCAUUAAGCUAUCUGGCUGCACUGCUCUGUUCUAUGCUGUGCUGCUCUGCGCUGUGUUCUCUGUAGUGCACAUCAAUCCACAUCACUAGAGCAGCAUCGACUGCCACAUCAGCCUCCCACUGACCUUGGGCCACCAAUGGGAAGACUUCCUGUGUCCUGAUCCCUAACUGACUACAGAGGUCACUUCCCUGGGUUCCAGCAUUUUUGGCUCUGCCUCAGUCAAGGAACCUGUGCCACCAUCUUGAGCCCAGAAGACUGAGGGGACAGAGGCUCUGUCUCAUGUUGUAUUUAGUGGACAGAUUCUAUUUCAUUUUAAAGUGGAUUUGAAGCAGCUAACUUGUUAGUGGUUUGAAACCUGAAGUUGUCCUGUUAGUCUUAGUUGGGGUUUUACUGCAGUGAACAGACACCAUGACCAAGGCAACACUUAUAAGGACAACAUUUAAUUGGGGCUGGCUUACAGGUUCAGAGGGUCAGUCCAUUAUCAUCAAGGUGAGACCACGGCAGUGUCCAGGAAGGAAUGGUGCAGGUAUUGUUGACAGUUCUACAUCUUCAUCUGAAGGCUGCUAGUGGAAGACUGACUCCCAGACAGCUAGUAUGAGGGUCUUAAAGCCCAUGCCUACGCCCAUGCGCACAGAGACACACCUACUCCAACAAGGCCACACCUCCUGAGAGUGCCACUCCCUGGGCCAAGCAUAUACAAACCAUCACAGACAGGAAGAAAAAUACAGCCUUUCCUGAAGCUGCACAAACAUGAACGUGUGCCUGUAAACCCCACAGUCUGAGGUAGGUUGUGAGCUCAUUCCAGGAGUGUGUGCUGAGACAGUAACUCACUGUUUAUAAAGAGUGAGGAAAGGGAGGGGUGAACAGGAGCAGUUGUACCCUGUCCUCGGUGUUCCAUGGGAU
RNAcentral lists this long non-coding RNA (943 nucleotides) under Mus musculus (house mouse). RNAcentral's name for it is "long non-coding RNA chr3:40481522-40482465". The record is from RNAcentral. Lineage: Eukaryota; Metazoa; Chordata; Mammalia; Rodentia; Muridae.